AAGAGAUUACUGGCAGCCCACGAUGCUGAAUUGGGAGUGUGGAGAGCAGGUCCAGACCCGUUGGUGCUCAUGUUACCAAUGGUUCCGCUGAAAAGCUCAGGAAUUUUUUCUCUCGCAAGUCAACACCUGCUUGUUGAGGAAAUUUCUCACCGAUGGCAGCUGCUUCCUCCAGAGCCCUCAGAGCUUUUUAUGGGACAUAAACAAAGUGCUGACACCUGCUGAAGUACAUCCCAAAAACUGCUCCAUAUGGAGAUGAAAAAGAAGGGGGUGUGCUUGAAUGCAUCGUUCCAUGUACGAAUGUUGCGCAAGAAGGGGAGCUGAGAUGUAUGCCUGCGGCAUUUCAAGGUCAAGCAGGUGUUGUUGCUAACGCAAUCCACGUGCCGUGUUUAUACGACUGCAUGAGUAACCGGAAAAAAGAUUUCGUUUUUUGCGCUUGCGAGUAAGUCAAUCUUGGCAUAAUUGGCCCUUUAAUUGCAUCCAUAUGCUUGUAAUUCUUCUUCCUUUUUCUGCAAAACAUACCA
Gasterosteus aculeatus aculeatus (three-spined stickleback) is the source of this 521-nucleotide long non-coding RNA. The record is from Ensembl. Lineage: Eukaryota; Metazoa; Chordata; Actinopteri; Perciformes; Gasterosteidae.